This 3919-nucleotide long non-coding RNA is filed under the name Olea europaea subsp. europaea. Lineage: Eukaryota; Viridiplantae; Streptophyta; Magnoliopsida; Lamiales; Oleaceae. The record is from RNAcentral.
AAAAUUUGGUUGAAUGAGAUAAUAGAAUAUAGAUUUUCACUAAUGUUUAUUCCGGCUGUUCAUUUUUGAAAUUUGAAAUCAUGUUUUAUCGAUUUCUCUUGAAGAAUCAGUAGUCACCUUGAUUGAUUAUUUUUAGCCCUACUUUAUGUUUUCUCUCCAUCACUAUAUUUGUGUUGAAUUUGAACUCAUAAAUGUAACUUUAUUGAUGAAAUGCACAUUACACAAUUUUGGACGAUAGUAAUAUUAUACACUCAAAUUUAAUCCUCACUCGACAAUACACACACGGCUGUGUGCUUCCUCUCUUAUAACUAUCUCUGUUUCUUUCUUAAUUCUCUCUACGCACGCACCUCUCUUCUCACUCUCUCUGUUCGCCACACACAUACAUUUCCAUACACACAAGACACAGCUAUAUACAUGGUGUGCUUAGCUUAUGUUAAAUACUGUUGACAUUGGACAUCAAAUAAUGGUGUAUUCACUAAUUAAUUGGUGUGCCAUAUCACCGGUGCUCAUUAGAUGAUUUCUCUUUCUCUCUACACAUACACACAUGCAAAGUCAGUGGUAUCCAAUUCCAGAUUUUUCUUGUGGUGGUGGUCUUUUCCUUCUAGUGAACUCUAGUAUAUCGCCGAUCAAGUUUUAAAUUUUUGAGAAUUCUAGAAUGGUGGUUAUGUAUGGAUUCUUCUAGGUUUUUCUAGCCGUGGCUGCAUGAGGAAAAUCUAGAAAUGAUUUUGAAGCCAAAGUUGGUCCUGACUUCUUCAAUUUGGUCUGCAUCUUUUUUAGCAACAUUAACUAUAGUUUGCAUGGAAUUUUGGGCUAUGAAUUCAAAUUAAGAAAAAAUCAUAUUCAAACAUGAAUUCAUUUGUUUUAUAUUCCGAAAUCUGAAUUGCAUGCCACAUAUAUAAAUGUAUAUACCCAUCUGAGAUUUAUCCUGUUCGGAGCUGGAUAAAGUUCUUGGAAAAUUUUCCUUUCGUCUAUUUAAUGGAAAUGAUACUGGCAGUUAAGGUUGUGAUAAUGUAGAGUGUGAAUUAUCAAAUUUUAAACAUCAUUUAUAAAAUUAGUAGGCUGAGUGAAUUUUCAAAUUUUAAAUAUUAUUUAUUAAAUUAGUAGGCUGAUAUUAGGAUGCUGAGAAAGUGUUCUACAUAGAGAAACAAUCUUCUUUUAGAAUGAAAAACUUUUAAUUGGAACCUGCAAUGCCAUUCUUCGUUCUCUAAGUUUACUAGUUGUUGUGUUACUUGAAGUGGAUUACUUCUCAGAUUAUAGUAUAGAUUGUGCACCUUACCCAUCCUCCCUUCUCAGAUAGAAUCUUUCUGUUCAUUUGGGUGAUCAUAAUUCAGUAAUUCAGUUGUAGGAGUACAGAACCAGGGUCAGCACAUUCGCAUCACUUAUUAUUUUUUAUUUUUCUCUAACCUUCAAUUCUUUUAUUUCUAAUUUUUAGACUUGAGUUGAAUUUAAAACAAUAUGGAGGAAUCCUCAAAAUAUUUUGGAAAAAAAAGGAUGACUAAAAUGGGAAUAAGGUGCACAUGUCUCAGCCACCUCGACAUGUGCCGCAUACACUUCAAAUUAUGGUGUAAGUCUUUACAAAAGGUACUCAAAGUGUAAGUUUUGACAACACACAUCUCAAGGCAUAGGUUUUGAUAAAGCACAAAAUUAGCAAAGUAUUAUUGGAGAAUUUCAUUCAUCCUUUAUUGUAAAUUUAGCUGAUUUUUAGUUGAUUUUCUUCUCUUUAUUUAGCUGAUUUUAUUCCCCACUGUAUAGGCCAAACUAGUGGGAUUGACUUUGCUGGAUUAGUGGGAUUGAUCUCCCUGCCUGUAUAUAUUUACUUGUAAUAAUUUCUGUCAAUACACACCAGAAUAUUCAUUGAAUUUCUUUAUGGUAUCAGAGCACACUCUAUCGUGAAUAGAGUUUGAUCCUCUUGCCUACCCUAGUUGUGUUCUCUCUUUUAUCAUAGAAACGGAAGAUUCCCAGACUCCUGUCACAAAAGCAACUGCCCAGCAAACUGAAACUAUUCACUCCCCCUCAUAUCAACCAGAUAUACCAUCUCACAUGGUCACUCGUGCUCAGAAUAAUACCUCCAAACCAAAACAACCGUUCAACCUACAUUCCACAAUCUCUUCCCUCCACUACCAAACAGAACAUUCAUCAUUUGCCCAAGCCAAAAAGCACUCUCAUUGGCGUGAUGCCAUGAAAGAAGAAUUUCUAGCUCUUCAGGACAACAAAACUUGGUCCCUUGUUCCACCCUCCUCUAAGAGGAACUCGGAUGGCUAUAUUGCUUGCUAUAAGGCCCGUCUUGUGGCAAAAUGUUUCAUCAAUGACCCGAAAUUGACUUUUCAGAAACUUUUAGCCCAGUGGUUAAACCAGCAACCAUUCGCCUUGUUCUAACUAUUGCUGUCACUUGUGGUUGGGUUUUGAAUCAAUUGGAUGUCAACAAUGCCUUCCUAUAAGGCACUCUAUCUGAAUGUGUUUUUAUGCAGCAACCUCAAGGAUUUUUUGACCCUCAAUGUCCUUCCCAUGUUUGCAAAUUACAUAAAGCAAUCUAUGGUCUUCGUCAAGCUCCUCGGACAUGGUACAAUAAACUUCGUUCCUUUCUUCUUGCCUAUGAUUUAUUAAUUCAAAGAGUGAUACCUCUCUCUUUAUAUACUCUUCGGACACUCGCAUCAUGUACUUGCUUGUGUAUGUGGACGACAUUAUACUUACGAGCAAUCACCCUCCUACUCUUCAAGAAUUCACCAGUCAGCUCUCCAACAGGUUUUCUCUCAAAGGUCUUGGCAAGCUUAACUACUUCUUGGGUGUUGAAACAACUCGGACCCCCAAUGGUUUAUUCCUAUCACAACAAAAGUAUAUUCUGGAGCUUCUUCAGCGAACAAAUAUGCAAGAGGCCAAGGAAGUCAGCACUCCACUCUCCAUUUCAGAAACGCUGAAGCUUGAUGAUGGUUCCCCUGGUCAUUAUCCAACUGAGUAUCAUCAAGUAUUAGGCUCACUUCAGUAUCUUUCUCUUGCACGGCCUGAUGUUAGCCAUGUUGUCAACAAGUUGGCUCAAUUUAUGCACAAACCAACUUCUAAUCAUUGGCUUGCUAUAAAACGUGUUCUUCGAUACCUCAAGGGAACCCCUCAUUAUGGUGUCUUCAUUUCAGCUCAUUCACCUCUUGCACUUCAUGCUUUUGCUGAUGCCGACUGGGCUGGUGAUGCUGAUACACGUCACUCUACAUCCACCUAUAUUGUAUUUCUUGGCUCCAAUCCUAUCAGUUGGAGUUCUAAGAAACAAUCCACUAUAGCCCGCUCCUCAACUGAGGCCGAAUAUCAUGCCAUUGCUGCUGCUGCUGAGGUGAAUUGGCUCACUAACUUGCUACGUGAACUUGCUGUAUCAAUUCCAGCUCCUCCAACAAUCUACUGUGAUAAUGUUGGAGCCACCUACUUAUGCUCCAAUCCUAUUUUCCACUUACAUAUGAAACACAUUGCCAUUGACUUUCACUUUGUGCGUGAUCAAGUUUCUUGCAAGUUGUUUCGCAUUUCACAUGUUCAUACUACAGACCAGCUUGCUGACUCUCUCACUAAACCUCUAGCUCGAAAGCAGUUCCUAAUUCAUCGGUCCAAGCUUAGUGUCCUUCCCAACCCUUACGCUUGCGGGGGCAUGAUAAAGCACAAAAUUAGCAAAUUAUUAUUGGAGGAUUUCAUUCAUCCUUUAUUGUAAAUUUAGCUGAUUUUUAGUUGAUUUUAUUCUCUUUAUUUAGCUGAUUGUAUUCCCCACUGUAUAGGCUAGAUUAGUGGGAUUGACUUUGCUGGAUUUGUGGGAUUGAUCUCCUUGCCUGUAUAUAUAUACUUGUAAUAAUUUCUGUCAAUACACCCAAAAUAUUCAUUGAAUUUCUAUAGGUUUGGCCUCCAUUUUUUAAAAAUUCAUUUUCAAUUAUACAUUCUUCCAUAAAAU